UCGAUGGGAAACAGGUUAAUAUUCCUGUACUUGGUGUUACUGCGAAGGGGGGACGGAGAAGGCUAUGUUAGCCGGGCGACGGUUGUCCCGGUUUAAGCAUGUAGGCUGGUUAUCCAGGCAAAUCCGGAUAAUCAAGGCUGAGGUGUGAUGACGAAGCACUACGGUGCUGAAGUAACAAAUGCCCUGCUUCCAGGAAAAGCCUCUAAGCAUCAGGUAACAUCAAAUCGUACCCCAAACCGACACAGGUGGUCAGGUAGAGAAUACCAAGGCGCUUGAGAGAACUCGGGUGAAGGAACUAGGCAAAAUGGU
This 309-nucleotide ribosomal RNA is filed under the name Klebsiella quasipneumoniae subsp. similipneumoniae. RNAcentral describes it as "partial 23S ribosomal RNA". It matches the Rfam family "Bacterial large subunit ribosomal RNA", at positions 1415 to 1726 of the family's 2925-position model. Lineage: Bacteria; Pseudomonadati; Pseudomonadota; Gammaproteobacteria; Enterobacterales; Enterobacteriaceae. The record is from RNAcentral.